Long non-coding RNA from Orbicella faveolata, 6551 nucleotides. NCBI's taxonomy places the organism in Eukaryota, Metazoa, Cnidaria, Anthozoa, Scleractinia, Merulinidae. The record is from RefSeq and is a predicted model, not a curated record.
GCCCUCAGAUGUUGCAUGCUGAGAUUGAAAUAAAGACAGCAUCCUCUCAAAUGGUACUCUGAUACAACUCUAUGCAGGUUCUAUCAACCAUGUACUAGAUUCUGCCCUCAGUCAUGGAAACUCACCAGCACUUCCAUCUAUUUUGGCAGCAAGGAAAUUGGACACAAACAAGAGAUGGUGACCUCAUUGCAUGGGUUUUCUCAAUCUGUAGCUGAAGUCGAAAUGUUGCUAAGAAUCCUGUCAAUUGGCUAAACACAAAUCUGCUUAAGGUGGAUGCUACAUAUAAAAGGAGGACCCAAGUACACACUGCAGCAAUGACAACUGGUAGGCCACAAACUAUGAAUGUUGACAUCAUGAUGUCAUCACAAAGGUGAAUCCUUCUGAUGCUAUGACCUCUUUAACACAAAGCUGCUCAAGAUAAAAGGGUGUUUUUAAUCAGUAACUUAUUAAGAUAAAAAGAAUCAUGUUUUUUCUUCUUUUCAACAACUGCAUCGAUAAAUUCUUUGUAAUUUUUAUUCUGUGAGAAUUUGGAACUUUGUCAAGGCAAUUCUCCCUUCUAUACCAAUAUUUCUUUUGAGAAUUUGGUAGUACAUCAAGACAGUUAUUCUGACUACGACCAAGUUGUAUUUUAUUUUGUGUCACCAGAAUUCUCCUAGAAGAAGCUAUGAUAAUUAAUUUAUUUAAUAAUUAAUUUCAUUAAUGAGAAUUCAGUGGGAUAUCAAGGCAAAUAUCUUUUUUCUUAGUGAUUGCUACUACUUAUCUUUUUCCUUGGUAGAUGCUGAGGUCAUGUACACAGAGAAUCUGCAAAUCAGAGAAUUUCUGGGUGCACUAGCAGCAGGGAUAGCUGGACAUCACUAACACAUGCUGUCAUCAUGGAGUCUUCUCAAGCUGUCACUGAUGAUGAAUUCUUAGCGGAACAUGCUGUCAAUUUUCUUCAACACAAAACUGCUCAAAAUGGGAAUUGUAUCACCUAACGUUUAAAAGGUAGCACUACACAUAGCAGUGAUACAGUUUCAGAAAGUUGUCAAAGUCAAUGCAUUCAAAUUCUCUACCUGUUGUUAUAAAGGGCUGGUGCAGCUAUGGAGGCCUUAUGUGCCACAAGGCACAAAGAAGCUAAGUGAAGUGAAGUGAAGCAGCUAUGGAUGACAUACUGCGAAAGGCAUCUCAAUUCUGUUUUCUUUCUCUUGUGGCGUAUGGAAAGCCCUCAUUUCAUGUACACCAGGAUCAACAUGGUACUUGGACACCAGCAAAGAACGUUGAUGACAUAGAGCUUUCUCAGGUGGUCACUGGAUGAUCCUACCAAUUCGCUUAAACACAAAAUUGCUCAAGAGAGUGGAAUAUUGGUAAGUUUUAGUAGGCUGCAAGAAUUUGAUGUUAGAUUAACAUCCUCAGUACUGAUGGUUAUCAUAAUGAGCAAGUUGUAUUGACCAUGUACAGCUUAAUCAAGGUAAACAUCAACCUCCCUUACCAUUGUUGAAAGAUGGUAAAUCACAGAGCACUUCUCAAUAAUGUUAUCUCACAUGGAUGCUGCUGUCUGUUUGGGUGACCCCCUGUGGUUUCCAAGUGGACUGGUGUCAACAACAGUUUUAGACCAAUACACAAAGUUGACAUCAUGAGGUCAGUGUUGCUGUCACAUCCUGGUAAUAAACUUGGAGACAAAGCUGCUUAAGGUUGAAGUUAGUAACUCUCAGAGGAUUAAAAACAUACCAGUCUUAAUAUUAUUCCACACCUACAACCUCUACUAGUUUUACUAUACUAAUGUCUGUUUUGAGAAUUUGAUGGUACCAUCAAAACAAUAUAUCUUUGAUUCACACAUGUUAUUCUCCAUACUGACUGCAUCGCUAGUGUAUGUUCUGAGAAUUUGGGUGUAUAUCAAGAUAUAAUAGAAUAUAAUUUCUCUGUACUGAUUGCCUUUCUUACUAAUGCAUGUUCUUAGAAUUUGGUCUACAUCAAGACCAUGUCUUCUAGAAUCAUGCCACCUCUCCACAUACCAUUAUUGCAACUUCUCAGGACUGCAUUUUUGUAGCAAAUGAAAGAAGCAAGUUAACCCUUGAUCCAUUGGUACAUUUCUUCUCCACUCUGGCAGUAGCAGAAUAAAGCUGUGUGCAAGUCCAUGGGUGAUUCUCCAUUUAUGAGGCUGUUGUCACAAUAUGAUUUCACCGGCAAUCUACUAGGGAACUUAAGCACAUUUUACAAGUUAAUAGCUGGAACUGAAAAACAUACAUAUACAUCACUUACCUUCAUGAUAACAAAAGAUGAUCCAAAAUGUCUUAAUGAAAUGAGCAAUAUCUUUUACUUUUGUAAUGAUUUUCACGCCUCCGAAAAUGGACGUUUUGAGUUAUGUGAUUGCCCCCGAAAGUGGGCUAAUUUGACCUAGACAGUAAUAGUUAUUUAAUCUCAAGUUAAGUGACUCAUAAUGUAUUACAAAAAAGCACACUGACACCAUUUUUUCUAGUUUUAUUGUAUUGAUAAGUAAUAUCAGAAACUCAUAAGGGGCUCAAUACCCCUUUUAAGUUUCAGGCAAUGCAUAUUAAUAGAAAAGUUAGUUACAAUAAUAUUUAAUGUCUUCAUGGUUUCUUGCUGUCUUCUCCAUUCUACUCGCUCCCGAAAAUGAGCAGCCACCACAUGCUAUGAUUACUAUGCUUUUUACGAUAACAAUAUUGCUUUUUACAAUGCAAAAAAAUCCACAGGACCUAAAUUAAAGCAUGAGGGGGUGCACUUCUUAAGCUGAAUAAUUUGGCAUCCAGAGAAAGCCAAGAGUGUCCCAGUGUCAGUUGACACUUCUUUUGGAACACCCAGGGCUCCUGGAUGAUUCUCAUUGGUCUGUAAUCUUUGGCUUGGUAAUGAAUCAAUGUCAAUACCAAGCCUUAAUGUGCUUGUAGCCGGAUAAUGUUUGGAAACCAAAAGCCGAACUGUAAGCGAAAGCCGAACCAAAAGGCUAUCAUUAAUUAUUAUAAUUAAAACAAUUUAAUCCACGUACCUUUUGCCAGGUUGUAGAAAUAACCUACCUUAAAUAUCAUCUCUUGGUCCUUCAACCCAAAGGAUAGCUCUGUCUCAACAUAAGCAUCGCCAGAGAAAUGCUUCUGAAUGACAUGACAUGACAAGCAUACAAGUGGAGCAGCCAAGAGGUACAACUGACACUAAGAUCACGGAUGACUCUUAUUGAGUGGUUUCUCUUGGCCAUAUUCCAGUCUUGUUGAUCCCUUUUGAAGCUACUUGACAUGUAUAGUGAUGUCAUGAGAUUACUUGAAGGUACAAUGAUCCAGUGAGAAUUCCAUGCUUUGGAAAUUCAUCCACCCUUGCUGCAAAAUAGUCCUUCAAUUAUGUUUGUAAUGAAGUCUUUCUCUCACAAGACUUCCGGGUUAGAGUUCAGUAUGAGGUUGACAACCUCACCCCAUAAAUAGGAAAUAUCUCAAAGGGCAGCAACAAGAUUCAAUUAAGCAGGAAGUCAAAGACUAGGAAUGGAGUUUGAAAUGUAAGGGCUGUAUAGCACUAGCAGACGUUCACAGGUGACCAGGUAGACGAGUGAAAAAACGUAUAAUUCACAUAAUCACUCUUGGCUUCAGUCAGUGCAGAUGGAGUGAAUUUGUUUCUUAGGAAACAGACGUGGAAGCAAUUUUGCUUUUAGACCUGAGUGAUAUCCAAGAUUCUAAAGAACUUGCAGUUGCUUACCUUGAGAAGUUUGCUGAGAAGUUCAUCCUUGAAUAGGAAACAGUGAGAUAUUGAUCAAAUCCAAAUUCUGCUGAUGCUGGGCAAGGAUGAAUCCAGAGCUGUUCUCUGAUCAUGCUGAUCCUGAGUGGAAUGACACAUUUUGUUCAUGCCAAAGGACAUGAUGAAUCAUGACACUUACAACAAAACUGUCUGUGUAUGCUGUUGUCCAGUUGGAGGAUUUGUGUUUCUCUUGCAAGAUUCUUGAGAGGUUGCAGGCUCUGUAUAUUUUGGUAGUAAAGAUCUGGGAUGAAACAUUUCUCCUCCAGUAUUAUUGGCAUUAGAAGAUGGGCUUGAUUGGUUGACAGCUUUAGAAAGCAGUGCUUGUUUAGUUAGGAAUCAGCUUAGUGAGAAGUAGGUAGUAUGUGUGUUAUUCUUCAAUAUUCCAGCUUUCCAGUGUUCCAGUGCUCCAUUGCUUUCAAUUAGCUGAAAAUUGGUUUCUUGGUAAAGUACACGCUUGGUGGCUGUGUGGGACAUUUGGUAGUAUCAGACAACAUGGAUGACAAGAGAGUUGUGGAAAGGCAUGGUUUUAAGUAGUGUAAACAAUUAUGGUGUUGACUAUAAACUUUUGUAGUACAAAGAACCUUUCUGGUCAUUCAUCAGUGGUGUUUUGUUUCUAUAGAGGCAUAAUUUCCUCCUUGGCAUGUUGGUAGUGAUCACCAUCACUAAAGCUGCACAUACUGUAGGGUAUUAAUAGGACAGAUGUUUAUCUGCGUGUAAGCUGAAGGCUGUUGUGCAUAUUGUAUUUGGCUAAUUUUUUGAAUUACAGGACAUGUUUCUUGCUCCUCGCUCGUAUUAUACCAGAGGUUCCUGUGGAUUUUCUUGGGUUUCUUCUUGAAUCAAGUGUAGUAGGUCUAUCAAUCAGGAUUGAACAAAGGUGUUGUAAAGGAACUUUUAAGUCCACAGCCCAAGACGAUCUCUGGACAUAGGUAGAAAAUGAAAAGCACCUUUUUGAUAAGCAAGUUGACUGAGAAACUUCUUAGAAGGAAAAGAUUAAUGCUAAACCCAGCCUGUUUGAGAAGCCCUCAACAAGGCUGCUGUGGAGAAGCAUUGUAACACAUUUAUCUUUUGAUUAUGGAUAAGGUUACCAUAAAAUAAACAGUCAAUCUGCUGAAAGGUUUUUGAUCUUUGUGUCCUCAAUAACCAGAGGUAUCUUGUUUUAGCAUAGGGACUUAUCCAGUAUUUCCAGGACCCCUUUGAACAGGUGGGUCUACUCCCACAUUGAUCAUCUUCCCAUUAAUGGGAUAAAAGAGCUUGUGUUUGAAAAGAGGGGCCUGUGUAGGAAGUACAUGACCAUCAGGUCACUGCCUUUGUUAAAUCAUGGCUAUACGCUGGAUAGUACAAGACGGUCAAGACAGAAAAUUAAUGUUGUACUCUCUUGGAUGAUCGUCUGUGGCACUGAUUCUACACAGAACUGCUGGACUUGUUUCAGUUCCUCACCAGCUUUCUCUUUACUUUUUUUUUCUUCUUGUCUUUGAUGGUCUCCUAGUUCUCCCUGCUCCACUGAUUGGGGAUUUUCCCUUUAUUCUAAUUGUGGCUAAAGGAGCUUCAUUUUAUGAGAUAAUUGUUUUCGAUGUCUAAGUAACAGAUCAUUAAGAUCAGACAAGAGUUGUUGAGAGUCUUGUGUCAGAGGUAGGGGCUGUAAAUUUGUGGGUGUCAGCAGAAUGAAAAGACACCUGUUAGCAAUAAGCAAGGUUUGUUACUCACAACUGAGAGGGAACGGGAAGGGUGUUGGGUAGAACAAUGGAAGUCAUUGAUAUCGACUUUACACUCAAAGAAAGAAAUCUUGAAAUACAUGAAGGGUGUUACGAUGUAGAUUGAAUGUCUGGACCAUUUCAACUUGGAUGAUGUAGUGUGAUGGGUGCAGGGAAUUUAAUUAAGUGAGGUGUGUAGGAGCAAUAUCAAGUGACCGGAGCAAGGCCAUUCUCACACCAAGUUUCAAGAAAAAUGCAAGUGAGAGGCAACGACAGACAGUGUAUCACUGUAUCACUUUGCUAUCCUUACAAAGCAAAAUCUUCUGCAAAGUCAUUGUGAAGCGUCUAUCCUGAGAUGUACACUGUAAGUGAAGUAAAACAAACCAAAGGUGGUGCAUGUCACUGUGUAAUGUCAGCCAUGCAGGAUGAUUCAAAUCGUCUGUGCUCUGUAAUCCUCUGAUGAAGCAGCCAAGUACUUCCAGUUGUCUUAAAGAAUCAAGGCACAGUCUGCAGGACCACAAAUUUAUGGCAUCAACAGAUUGUACAGACACCCAUUAUUGAUAAGCAUUAGGUCUGUUAAAAUGGGAAGGAGCAGGUCAAGAGUGAUGGACGGAACAUUUUAGGAAGGUCCUUAACCUGCCGGUCCAGAUGAGCCAGCUAAUCUAUUGUCUGUGAUGCUGAAGAUCACCUUUUUAUAUGAGAAGUGGCUCAUUAAUGGUUUUUAAUAAGGAUAAAGCACCUUGCUAGAUGAGAUGAGCUUAGUGCCAAACAUUUUAACUCUGACCCACUGAGCUGACUAUAGAGAUAACACUACUCUCACUUUUAACUGGAGGCUUGGGUCAUGAAGGGAUAACCAAGUGACUGGAGCGGAGGUGUUGUCUUAGUAAUUUUCAAGAAAGCUACACAGGCUCACAGCAACAACUGGCAGGGUACCAGUUUGUUAUCCUUGAAAGGCACUCUUAUGUAAAAUCAUUGUGAGAUGUCCAUCCAUGGCAAUUAAUGAACUGUUGCUGAAAGAUUACGUUGAUUGAGGAAGAAAUCAUGGCACAGAAACCUGUACAAGUUUAAGUUGAUCAGUUAAAAUUCUUAACUCUCUGGAAAGGGUAGAAGCAAUAGGAGAAACAGAGAGAUAUAUGAGAAUCUUUUGCU